CUAUAUGUGUUUUUAAAACUCUGUUUUUAGAACGUCAGAUUUUGAUUUCUUGAAUCCGAGGGUUACGUGCAAAAUCUUUGGCACAUCUGCAUAUAUAUGUGUGUGUUUAAAUCUUGAAACUCGAUUCACUCUGAGCAUCAAAAACCUUACUCUGAUUAAAAAAUGACCUUCUCUUAUUCUCCACAAAAAUGGCUGCUUUUUC
Molecule: long non-coding RNA, 202 nt
Filed under: Vigna radiata
Lineage: Eukaryota; Viridiplantae; Streptophyta; Magnoliopsida; Fabales; Fabaceae
Description: long non-coding RNA (VRAD_LNC014512)
Source: RNAcentral